This 184-nucleotide ribosomal RNA is filed under the name uncultured Bacillus sp. RNAcentral's name for it is "partial 16S ribosomal RNA". It matches the Rfam family "Bacterial small subunit ribosomal RNA", at positions 355 to 530 of the family's 1533-position model. Lineage: Bacteria; Bacillati; Bacillota; Bacilli; Caryophanales; Bacillaceae. The record is from RNAcentral.
GGGUGAAUCUUCCGCAAUGGACGAAAGUCUGACGGAGCAACGCCGCGUGAGUGAUGAAGGCUUUCGGGUCGUAAAACUCUGUUGUUAGGGAAGAACAAGUACGAGAGUAACUGCUCGUACCUUGACGGUACCUAACCAAAAAGCCACGGCUAACUACGUGCCAGCAGCCGCGGUAAAUAUAAAC